GAUGAACGCUGGCGGCGUGCCUAACACAUGCAAGUCGAGCGAGAAGCUCGUGACGGACGCUUCGGUUGAAGUCACGAGUGGAAAGCGGCGGACGGGUGAGUAACGCGUAGGCAACCUGCCCUUUGCAGAGGGAUAGCCUCGGGAAACCGGGAUUAAAACCUCAUAAUACCGCAGUGAGACAUCUCACAGUGGUCAAAGAUUUAUCGGCAAAGGAUGGGCCUGCGUCUGAUUAGUUAGUUGGUGGGGUAACGGCCUACCAAGGCGACGAUCAGUAGCCGACCUGAGAGGGUGAUCGGCCACAUUGGAACUGAGACACGGUCCAAACUCCUACGGGAGGCAGCAGUGGGGAAUAUUGCACAAUGGGGGAAACCCUGAUGCAGCAACGCCGCGUGAAGGAUGAAGGCCUUUGGGUCGUAAACUUCUGUUCUAAGGGAAGAUAGUGACGG
RNAcentral lists this ribosomal RNA (446 nucleotides) under uncultured bacterium. RNAcentral's name for it is "bacterial SSU rRNA". It matches the Rfam family "Bacterial small subunit ribosomal RNA", at positions 28 to 457 of the family's 1533-position model. The record is from RNAcentral.